ACUACGGGAGGCAGCAGUGAGGAAUAUUGGUCAAUGGGCGGAAGCCUGAACCAGCCAAGUAGCGUGCAGGAUGACGGCCCUACGGGUUGUAAACUGCUUUUAUACGGGAAUAACGCGCCUUACGUGUAGGGCUUUGCAUGUACCGUAUGAAUAAGGACCGGCUAAUUCCGUGCCAGCAGCCGCGGUAAUACGGAAGGUCCGGGCGUUAUCCGGAUUUAUUGGGGUUAAAGGGAGCGUAGGCCGCAUGUCAAGCGUGCUGUGAAAUGCCCGGGCUCAACCCGGGCCUUGCAGCGCGAACUGGCGUGCUUGAGUCCGCGGAAAGCAGGCUGAAUUCGUCGUGUAGCGGUGAAAUGCUUAGAUAUGACGAAGAACCCCGAUUGCGAAGGCAGCUUGCUGCAGCGGAACUGACGCUGAUGCUCGAAAGCGCGGGUAUCGAACAGGAUUAGAUACCCCAGUAGUC
RNAcentral lists this ribosomal RNA (460 nucleotides) under uncultured bacterium. Its description in RNAcentral is "partial 16S ribosomal RNA". It matches the Rfam family "Bacterial small subunit ribosomal RNA", at positions 338 to 795 of the family's 1533-position model. The record is from RNAcentral.